UACGAAGGGUGCAAGCGUUACUCGGAAUUACUGGGCGUAAAGCGUGCGUAGGCGGUUUGUUAAGUCUGAUGUGAAAGCCCCCGGCUCAACCGGGGAGGGUCAUUGGAAACUGGGGAACUUGAGUGUAGAAGAGGAAAGUGGAAUUCCACGUGUAGCGGUGAAAUGCGUAGAGAUGUGGAGGAACACCAGUGGCGAAGGCGACUUUCUGGUCUACAACUGACACUGAGGCGCGAAAGCGUGGGGAGCAAACAGG
This 253-nucleotide ribosomal RNA is filed under the name uncultured bacterium. RNAcentral describes it as "partial 16S ribosomal RNA". It matches the Rfam family "Bacterial small subunit ribosomal RNA", at positions 524 to 776 of the family's 1533-position model. The record is from RNAcentral.